GACGAACGCUGGCGGCGUGCCUAAUACAUGCAAGUUGAGCGCUGAAGGCUGGUACUUGUACCAACUGGAUGAGCAGCGAACGGGUGAGUAACGCGUGGGGAAUCUGCCUUUGAGCGGGGGACAACAUUUGGAAACGAAUGCUAAUACCGCAUAAAAACUUUAAACACAAGUUUCAGGUUUGAAAGAUGCAAUUGCAUCACUCAAAGAUGAUCCCGCGUUGUAUUAGCUAGUUGGUGAGGUAAAGGCUCACCAAGGCGAUGAUACAUAGCCGACCUGAGAGGAUGAUCAGCCACAUUGGGACUAGGACACGGACCAAAAUCCUACGGGAGACAGCAGUAGGGAAUCUUCGGCAAUGGACGAAAGUCUGACCGAGCAAAGCCGCGUGAGUGAAGAAGGGUUUCGGAUCGUAAAACUCUGUUGGUAGAGAAGAGCGUUGGUGAGAGUGGAAAGCUCAUCAAGUGACGGUAACUACCCAGAAAGGGACGGCUAACUACGUG
RNAcentral lists this ribosomal RNA (497 nucleotides) under uncultured bacterium. Its description in RNAcentral is "partial 16S ribosomal RNA". It matches the Rfam family "Bacterial small subunit ribosomal RNA", at positions 28 to 507 of the family's 1533-position model. The record is from RNAcentral.